ACGUUUCCUCCCAGCGUUCACGAUAACUUCAACAACCCAUGGAUAAACCCAAGCCAGCCUCCAUCCCAACCUCCAGAUUUCCCCUCACGCCCGUUUCCAUCUUCCUCCAUGUUUCUUUACCAAACAACCCAGCAUCCCGGACAUCCCAAACCGAGAUUCCCAGCUGAAUCUAUCCUUCCAAUAUCCCACAAAUUAGCUCCCCUGUUCCCAGCCGAAGGAAGUCAAACAUUCAAGUCCAAGCUUCCUCUUCUUCCGGUUUGAUCUCAUGGAGCAGCCCAACGUCCUUCGGAUCACAUCUCCCCAUUCUGUGGAUCACGCCCCAGCUCAUCUUCCCCGUAUCCGCGAUUCAUUCUUCCGCUUCUCCCAGCAUCCCACCUUCAACCACC
RNAcentral lists this long non-coding RNA (386 nucleotides) under Phoenix dactylifera (date palm). RNAcentral describes it as "long non-coding RNA (PDAC_LNC008529)". Lineage: Eukaryota; Viridiplantae; Streptophyta; Magnoliopsida; Arecales; Arecaceae. The record is from RNAcentral.